AAAAGGUCACGGAUCGCCUACAGUGACGAAGUACGGAAUGAGCUCCUAGGGGAUGCUGGGAAUUCCUCAGAGAACCAGAGGGCACAUCUGCUGGAUAACACGGAAAGGCUGGAGAGGUCAUCUCGGAGACUAGAGGCUGGAUACCAGAUAGCAGUGGAGACCGGAACCAAGGAAGUAGACUGCAUGUAUUAAUGCUGAGGAAGCUGAAGAAGACCACCAUGUGCCCAGCUUUUACCAGCGUGCACCGCUGCUUCCUGAAGUUACUGACAGGCGUGCUCUCUGCCCGACGGGGCCCCUUUGGUUUGGAGCUCACCCUUAGAGCAGACUCUUGGGAGGUACAUGGUCAGUGGAAGGAGCCACCUUUCAGUUUUCCCGUUUCACAGACACAAAAUCAUUUCACUUCCCUGAGCCUCUUCAUUCUUCAAUAAAAUAGAAGUAAAUCGC
This 444-nucleotide long non-coding RNA is filed under the name Rattus norvegicus (Norway rat). RNAcentral's name for it is "long non-coding RNA NONRATT001878". The record is from RNAcentral. Lineage: Eukaryota; Metazoa; Chordata; Mammalia; Rodentia; Muridae.